RNAcentral lists this long non-coding RNA (535 nucleotides) under Triticum aestivum (bread wheat). RNAcentral's name for it is "long non-coding RNA (TAES_LNC008105)". Lineage: Eukaryota; Viridiplantae; Streptophyta; Magnoliopsida; Poales; Poaceae. The record is from RNAcentral.
ACAUUAAGGUCUCACACUCUCACUCUCAGUUCUCAAUUCUCAAGUCUCAAGUCACAAAUCAAAAGCAAAAGAUGAUAACUAAAACAGCAUACAUUCAACAUGAUUUUAGUUCAGCCAUGAGUAGACGUGGAUGUCACUUUGUUGGUCGACUUGCACACUUGUUUGACUUGGCCGUGGAAGAAGCAACAACACCACCAUUGAACUUGCGCUUUCCCUUCACCUUGUCACCAAAUUCUUCAAUCAACUCUACAACAAGUCAAGUAUUCAAUCAAAUUUCAUAAUCUGCUAGCUAUGGUGAUAUACUGAUAGUGACAAAUGCAAUGUGAUUUUGUUGAGAUCUACUAGCCAGGUCUAGUUAAUGAAGAAGUUUGUCAAGUCAUGCAUAUAAAGUUCUCCAUACAUUGGUUUGGUACUGAUGCAUGUCAUGCAUAGUAAUAUCUCUAGAAUAAAAAACAAACGUAUUGACAAGUUGGCUGAUUGUUUUACCUUUUUCUAGCACUUCUUAUUCUUUCAAGUUCUCCUUGAUGUCGACCGG